This 265-nucleotide long non-coding RNA is filed under the name Gallus gallus (chicken). The record is from RNAcentral. Lineage: Eukaryota; Metazoa; Chordata; Aves; Galliformes; Phasianidae.
UGCAGCUUAAUAGAAGUUGUGUAAAAGUACAGGUUCAGAUAUGAGGAACAGAAAUAAUUGCAGUUCUGAUCUUGAAUAGAACCAAAAAUCAUUGUGCAAAUGUUCAUGAAGUUCCCACAUUCAGCCUCACCAGCUUCUGAAGACUGGGGAAGAUUGUAGGCUUUCUUUAUUGGAUGGAACUUCCUCAUCACAUAUUCAGAAGUUUGUCUGUGUUAAUAUGCAUGGUAUUUUUUUUAACUUCCAACAGCCCAAAUCUCUUUUGUUG